CCUACGGGUGGCAGCAGUGAGGAAUAUUGGUCAAUGGACGCAAGUCUGAACCAGCCAUGCCGCGUGCAGGAAGACGGCUCUAUGAGUUGUAAACUGCUUUUGUACAAGGGUAAACGCAGAUACGUGUGUCUGUCUGAAAGUAUUGUACGAAUAAGGAUCGGCUAACUCCGUGCCAGCAGCCGCGGUAAUACGGAGGAUCCAAGCGUUAUCCGGAUUUAUUGGGUUUAAAGGGUGCGUAGGCGGGUUGAUAAGUUAGAGGUGAAAUGCCGCGGCUCAACUUUGGAAUUGCAUUUGAUACUGGUAGUCUAGAGAGUAGGUGAGGUAGGCGGAAUGUAUGGUGUAGCGGUGAAAUGCUUAGAGAUCAUACAGAACACCGAUUGCGAAGGCAGCUUACCAAGCUACCUCUGACGUUGAGGCACGAAAGUGUGGGGAGCAAACAGGAUUAGAUACCCGGGUAGUC
RNAcentral lists this ribosomal RNA (460 nucleotides) under uncultured bacterium. RNAcentral's name for it is "partial 16S ribosomal RNA". It matches the Rfam family "Bacterial small subunit ribosomal RNA", at positions 338 to 795 of the family's 1533-position model. The record is from RNAcentral.